RNAcentral lists this long non-coding RNA (346 nucleotides) under Lotus japonicus. RNAcentral's name for it is "long non-coding RNA (LJAP_LNC001025)". The record is from RNAcentral. Lineage: Eukaryota; Viridiplantae; Streptophyta; Magnoliopsida; Fabales; Fabaceae.
UUUUGGUAAGGCCCAACACCAGUGACAAGGCCUUGAAUAAAGUAACCCAAGAUUGCUAACAUGGCCAACCUUCCAUUCUUAACUUCCUUGAGCUUCAACUCCUUCAUGGAUUUCUCAUCCUUACCGAACCCAAGAGGGUUGAAGAAAGGCCCGCCAGGGUACGCCGGGUCACCGGAGCCUCCGAGGCCUUUCUCCAGGCCCAAGAAGUACUGCUUGCCCAUGGACCCGGGCUUGGCCCAGUCUUGGAACCUCCUGUGCUCCGCAAAGCCCAUGAGCGCCAUCUCCAACACAAACAGCGUGUAUGAGUCUGCCCAGUAGCUGUAUGUUCCUGCAGGUGGAAUCACAC